GAACUGUCUGCUAUUUGGAACACAGUUAAGUGAGUUUUCAAAUAGGAACUCUGGCAGACAAACCCAGGUCUUCUGAGCCAGAAUUUAGUGCUUUAACCACAAGAUCAUGCUUCCUAUCUGAAGCUAAGAGUCACGUCUGACUGCUAAGUGUGGGUGCAGAACCCUCUUGCUUCCCCAGGACCCCACCAGGACGGACUUGCUGUGGAAAGCGCAUGGAGGGGCAGAGGAUGCUGAAUGCUCCAAAGAAGACUUGAUUUUGCUGUCCCAAACUCCCCAUGGCUUGAAGCAUAUGUUAAAGGAUUUUAGCUCUCUUAGUCAGCAAGAGUUCCUGACCCUAAAUGAUCAGAAAACUGAAGUAAUUUCCUUUGGCCACAGACCAAGGCUGCAUAAGUGGAUGAUUGAUGGACAUUAUAUUGAACAGGUCAGGUUUUUCCCUAUCUGGGAACUUGUUUUAUAUAUAAUGGUCAAUGGAAUAAAUAUAGAGAGCAAGUGAAGAGGAGCCCUGUAAGUUUCAUUUCACGUGGGUCCAUGGAGGCAGUUUGAUUGCACCAGCUCUGAGCUAACAUCUGUGCCCAGUUAUUAUACAGUGUGGAAACUUGGGGCUGGAAAGAUCUUAUGGUGUUAGAGGUUGUGCAAAAUAAAUGUUUAAGGCGUGUGCUUGACUUCCCAAAUUAUAGCCCAGCUGCUUUACUUAUGGCAGAUAUAGGGGACUACAUUGCUAUUUCGACUAAAACUCAAUGCCUUUACUUUAUUGACUAUGUGUUCAGCAUAUAAAUCUACAACACAUUCCAAGGCUAUGUCUGGAGGAACAGCUUAACAAGACACAUGCCUGGCUUUUGCAAGUUCUCCUGGCUUUUGGAAGUCUGUUGUUCAGUCCAUUCCUUCGUUUUCUCAGAACUUGACCUGGAAGGAUCACAGGCAAGAGUGUGAAAUCUUUAAUCAAGCUUAAAACAGAAGAUACGUGCUAACAACUGGGAAUGGCAGUUGUCCAUAAAACAAAUAUAUCUGCUUGGCUUUCUCAUUUGAAGAAUAUCCAUAGUUAUGAGAAAUAUUUGGGUAUUUUGAACCAUAUGUUAGGGAGGGCUUUUAUGGCUCUGUUUUCAAACUAUGCAGAUGGCCUCUGUGGACAGGAGGUAUGCUGGUCUCAAGAGACAUCAUCGGCUUUGUCCAUGCAGUUCUAGUAAGAUUGAAGACCUACCACACUGUCUACUUUCUUGUAACCUGUAUGGUCACCAGGCUCACAUGCUUCUUUCCACUCUGGCUUAAAAACUAGAAUACUUACUGCGUAAGAGAAAUAGUUUUACUAU
Molecule: long non-coding RNA, 1307 nt
Organism: Mauremys reevesii (Reeves's turtle)
Lineage: Eukaryota; Metazoa; Chordata; Testudines; Geoemydidae
Exons: 3
Source: RefSeq, a predicted model, not a curated record